Molecule: long non-coding RNA, 1333 nt
Filed under: Cairina moschata (Muscovy duck)
Lineage: Eukaryota; Metazoa; Chordata; Aves; Anseriformes; Anatidae
Description: domestica (muscovy Duck (domestic type)) lncRNA (ENSCMMG00000005474.1)
Source: RNAcentral
AAGUAGAAACCUUGAUUAUUUUUUUUUCUAAUAUAAUGUUCUUAGUGAGAGUAUCUACCCUGUGGGUGUGUCUUUGAUAUGUCAAAGAAGAAAGAAAUUUGUUUUAUUUUUUUGUGGAAUUCUUUCCUCAGCUCAAGUAAUUAUAUAUAUAUAUCAUGUAUAUAAUACAUAUAUAUAAUACAUAUAUAUUUAAAUGUUGCUGUAAAUAGUCAUUUAUAUUAAGUUUAGAACUACUUUCCAUAUAGCCUCUGAUUUUGAAAAGCUGAUACUUAUUUUCAAAUCUAUCAUCAUAAGCAGUGGAUUAACAUCGGUUUGAUCUGCUCUGGUGGACAUGAUAAAAUCCUACUCAGAUAAGCUAGAUUUGUGAGAAACGUGAAAUCCUUCAUAUAAGUAAAUUCUGUAGUGGUUGUUUCAUCUAAGCCUCUCUUAGCUCUUAAUAAAUUAAUGUAGCUUUCUAACAGAAUUCUGAGUAGUGAUAGGAUGUUGUAGUAAUCAAUUUUUUUACUUCAUUGUCUUCCUGAUUUAAAGAACUUGGAAAGAUGUCUGCAUUCUGCAUGGUGAAAGCUGAGUCUGCAGAGUGUUUAAAGGAAAAUACUUGCAGACAACAAAUAUGUGUAUCACCCAACUUUGCCUGAUUGACAUAGCAAGUUAAAACUGCAAGCCGUGAGUAUUUUUCUACACAUCGGUGAGAUGAUUUUAAGAAUAUUACAUGAAUUAAUUGCUGAAGUAAUAUUUAAUUUAUAAAAGGUAUCAUGGAUACCAUUUUACCAUAAACAGCUUGAUUGUUAAUAUGAAAUAAUCUUUUGUCAGUAAUAAUCUUAGAUACUAUGACUAGAGGGGAAAAAUAUUGAUUGUUUUUACAGAUUAUAAAAGCAUACAUUAGUAUAUUGUAUACCUGCUGUAAGAAUUUGUUUCAUUUGGUUAAAAUUAGUAAAUAUGGGUAGACAUGAACUUUCUGGCUGGUUUUGCCGUCCAUACUCACUGAGCUCCUUUUCCUUCUAAACCCAUUUUAGUUCAUUUCAUCUUUUCCCAGCUUUCAAAUCAUAGAUAAGGGGAAUGCUCUUCUACCCCCAGAAAUGUGCAUUCUAUAUACCAGAUUAUGAGUUUGAUUAGAGAAGUAAAAUUCAACAAAACAUGAAAGUUGUCAAAAAAAUUUAAUAAAAGUUGACACUAAAAAUAAGGUUGUUUCAACUGAGCUCGUAGGGUAGAUGUUCUGUAGGUACUCCUAUGUUUUUGUUUUCUUAGAGACCAUAAUAAUCAUAUUAAGAUCCCAGUGAGCAUAAACAGCAAUUAAAUAUGAUGUAAGAGGGAGACUGAAGGAUAGUUAAAUGAU